Molecule: ribosomal RNA, 724 nt
Filed under: uncultured bacterium
Lineage: Bacteria
Description: bacterial SSU rRNA
Rfam family: Bacterial small subunit ribosomal RNA
Source: RNAcentral
UCGAACGGCAGCACAGCAGAGCUUGCUCUGUGGGUAGCGAGUGGCGGACGGGUGAGUAAUGCAUCGGGACCUACCCAGACGUGGGGGAUAACCUCGGGAAACCGGGACUAAUACCGCAUACGUCCUACGGGAGAAAGCGGGGGAUCUUCGGACCUCGCGCGGUUGGACGGACCGAUGUGCGAUUAGCUAGUUGGUAGGGUAAAGGCCUACCAAGGCGACGAUCGCUAGCUGGUCUGAGAGGAUGAUCAGCCACACUGGAACUGAGACACGGUCCAGACUCCUACGGGAGGCAGCAGUGGGGAAUAUUGGACAAUGGGCGCAAGCCUGAUCCAGCAAUGCCGCGUGUGUGAAGAAGGCCUUCGGGUUGUAAAGCACUUUUAUCAGGAACGAAAUACCACGGGUCAAUAACCGGUGGGGCUGACGGUACCUGAGGAAUAAGCACCGGCUAACUUCGUGCCAGCAGCCGCGGUAAUACGAAGGGUGCAAGCGUUAAUCGGAAUUACUGGGCGUAAAGGGUGCGUAGGCGGUUCGUUAAGUCUGUUGUGAAAUCCCCGGGCUCAACCUGGGAAUGGCAAUGGAUACUGGCGAGCUAGAGUGUGUCAGAGGAUGGUGGAAUUUCCGGUGUAGCGGUGAAAUGCGUAGAGAUCGGAAGGAACAUCAGCGGCGAAGGCGGCCAUCUGGGACAACACUGACGCUGAAGCACGAAAGCGUGGGGAGCAAACAG